This 428-nucleotide ribosomal RNA is filed under the name uncultured bacterium. Its description in RNAcentral is "bacterial SSU rRNA". It matches the Rfam family "Bacterial small subunit ribosomal RNA", at positions 29 to 507 of the family's 1533-position model. The record is from RNAcentral.
AACGAACGCUGGCGGCAGGCUUAACACAUGCAAGUCGAGCGCCCCGCAAGGGGAGCGGCAGACGGGUGAGUAACGCGUGGGAACAUACCCUUUAGUACGGAAUAGCCUCGGGAAACUGGGAUUAAUACCGUAUACGCCUACGGGGAAGAUUAUCGCUAAAGGAUUGGCCCGCGUUGGAUUAGCUAGUUGGUGAGGUAAUGGCUCACCAAGGCGACGAUCUAUAGCUGGUCUGAGAGGAUGAUCAGCCACACUGGGACUGAGACACGGCCCAGACUCCUACGGGAGGCAGCAGUGGGGAAGUAUUGGACAAUGGGCGAAAGCCUGAUCCAGCCAUGCCGCGUGAGUGAUGAAGGCCCUAGGGUUGUAAAGCUCUUUCGCUAGAGAAGAUAAUGACGGUAUCUAGUAAAGAAGCCCCGGCUAACUUCGUG